This is a non-coding RNA of Lontra canadensis (Northern American river otter), 446 nucleotides long. NCBI's taxonomy places the organism in Eukaryota, Metazoa, Chordata, Mammalia, Carnivora, Mustelidae. The record is from the annotation of a RefSeq genome assembly.
AUUCUUCAUCAGAUGCUGCCAUGAACAACAGGGUCCUUUGCUGUGUUGUCAUUUAUCUCAUCAGAGUUGGCCUCAAGGGUGCUUUGGUCACACAGUUCCCAAGACAAAGGAUCGUGGGGACAGAAAAGGAAUUAACCCUACAGUGUUUGCAGGAUAUGAACUAUGUCUUGAUGUACUGGUAUCGCCAAGACCCAGGAUCUGGACUGCGGCUGAUCGACUACUCAACUGGUGCCAGAAACUUUGAAAAAGGAGAUGUCCCUCGGGGGUAUCGUGUCUCUCGAAAAGAGUUGCAAUCUUUUUCCCUGACCCUGGAAUCUGCCAGCACCAACCAGACGUCUGUGUACCUCUGCACCAGCAGUGAGCCACAGCGUUGCAAAGACCUAUCUUCUCUGCACAAGAAAGGGGCAAGCCAAGGAGGAAGGGGACCUCGCCUUCAAGAGUCCUGA